This is a long non-coding RNA of Stegodyphus dumicola, 342 nucleotides long. The record is from RefSeq and is a predicted model, not a curated record. NCBI's taxonomy places the organism in Eukaryota, Metazoa, Arthropoda, Arachnida, Araneae, Eresidae.
AAAACUAUAUUUUACAGGUACGGAUGAAAGAGCUAUCAUCGACGUGUUAGUAACUCAUUCUAAUUUACAGAGGCAGGAAAUUAAGAGGAAAUAUAAAAGUUUAUAUGGAAGAGAUCUUGUGGAAGAUAUCAAGUCUGAACUUGGAGGAAAUUUUGAAGAUGUCUGUGUGGCCUUACUUACACCGCAGAUAGUAUUCCUUGCUGACUGUUUAUAUGGUGCUGUGAAGGGCAUUGGAACUGACGAAAAGUGUAUUAUUGAAAUCUUAUGCACACAUCAUAGCAGAGUGAGUAAUAUUUAUUUUCAUGUAUUUUCAGUAUUGCACUUUAAAAGCUUUAACACAAU